Molecule: transfer RNA, 78 nt
Filed under: Parcubacteria group bacterium ADurb.Bin216
Lineage: Bacteria
Description: tRNA-Leu
Rfam family: tRNA
About the family: Transfer RNA (tRNA) molecules are approximately 80 nucleotides in length. Their secondary structure includes four short double-helical elements and three loops (D, anti-codon, and T loops).
Source: RNAcentral
GCCCACGUAACCCAAUUGGUAUGAGGUAUCUCGCUUAGAACGAGAGUCGUGCAGGUUCGAAUCCAGCCGUGGGUACCA